RNAcentral lists this ribosomal RNA (1139 nucleotides) under Enterococcus durans. RNAcentral describes it as "bacterial SSU rRNA". It matches the Rfam family "Bacterial small subunit ribosomal RNA", at positions 56 to 1164 of the family's 1533-position model. Lineage: Bacteria; Bacillati; Bacillota; Bacilli; Lactobacillales; Enterococcaceae. The record is from RNAcentral.
UGCAGUCGUACGCUUCUUUUUCCACCGGAGCUUGCUCCACCGGAAAAAGAAGAGUGGCGAACGGGUGAGUAACACGUGGGUAACCUGCCCAUCAGAAGGGGAUAACACUUGGAAACAGGUGCUAAUACCGUAUAACAAUCGAAACCGCAUGGUUUUGAUUUGAAAGGCGCUUUCGGGUGUCGCUGAUGGAUGGACCCGCGGUGCAUUAGCUAGUUGGUGAGGUAACGGCUCACCAAGGCCACGAUGCAUAGCCGACCUGAGAGGGUGAUCGGCCACAUUGGGACUGAGACACGGCCCAAACUCCUACGGGAGGCAGCAGUAGGGAAUCUUCGGCAAUGGACGAAAGUCUGACCGAGCAACGCCGCGUGAGUGAAGAAGGUUUUCGGAUCGUAAAACUCUGUUGUUAGAGAAGAACAAGGAUGAGAGUAACUGUUCAUCCCUUGACGGUAUCUAACCAGAAAGCCACGGCUAACUACGUGCCAGCAGCCGCGGUAAUACGUAGGUGGCAAGCGUUGUCCGGAUUUAUUGGGCGUAAAGCGAGCGCAGGCGGUUUCUUAAGUCUGAUGUGAAAGCCCCCGGCUCAACCGGGGAGGGUCAUUGGAAACUGGGAGACUUGAGUGCAGAAGAGGAGAGUGGAAUUCCAUGUGUAGCGGUGAAAUGCGUAGAUAUAUGGAGGAACACCAGUGGCGAAGGCGGCUCUCUGGUCUGUAACUGACGCUGAGGCUCGAAAGCGUGGGGAGCAAACAGGAUUAGAUACCCUGGUAGUCCACGCCGUAAACGAUGAGUGCUAAGUGUUGGAGGGUUUCCGCCCUUCAGUGCUGCAGCUAACGCAUUAAGCACUCCGCCUGGGGAGUACGACCGCAAGGUUGAAACUCAAAGGAAUUGACGGGGGGCCCGCACAAGCGGUGGAGCAUGUGGUUUAAUUCGAAGCAACGCGAAGAACCUUACCAGGUCUUGACAUCCUUUGACCACUCUAGAGAUAGAGCUUCCCCUUCGGGGGCAAAGUGACAGGUGGUGCAUGGGAUGUCGUCAGCUCGUGUCGUGAGAUGUUGGGAUUAGUCUCGCACGAGCGCAACUCAUUAAUGCUAGUAGCAAUCAUCCAGUUGGUCACUCUAGCCAGACUGACGGGUGAACAAACC